UUCACUAAAACGCAGUCUACAAAACCUUGGGAGCAUUACGCACGAUCUCACGUGUGGUCAAAAGGUUGCGGAAAACUGGCGCAUUUUUACGCAUGGAAAUUCUUUAUAAAUCCCGACUUUUGCGAGGAAUGUUGCAACGGCAAAUUUCACCCUGCUUCUCGCAACUUUUUCUUGCGUAACAGGUUUUAUAAAUGAGGCCCCUGGUUAUAUCCAGCUGACAACAG
This is a long non-coding RNA of Sander lucioperca (pikeperch), 224 nucleotides long. RefSeq lists it as uncharacterized. The record is from RefSeq and is a predicted model, not a curated record. NCBI's taxonomy places the organism in Eukaryota, Metazoa, Chordata, Actinopteri, Perciformes, Percidae. The transcript has 3 exons.